CCAAUAAAAGACGACAUAAUUUAGGAGAUAAGAUUUCUGUAUAUUUCUUGUAAAACCAGCUUGUGAAUAUGAAACUUUUUAUUCUGAUGGCUUUAUGCCUUAUUUCUCUCGCUGUGCCUUCAAUGGCAGAUCCACAACUACCUCUUCCCCCAAUGCGACCAUAUCCAUAUCCAGGACGUGGUUCUGGUUAAGGACAAAAAGUUAUUGUAAAUAAAUCGAAUAUUGCAAUUUUAAAAUAUUUGCAAUUAUGAA
Long non-coding RNA from Drosophila sulfurigaster albostrigata, 252 nucleotides. RefSeq lists it as uncharacterized. The record is from RefSeq and is a predicted model, not a curated record. The transcript is spliced from 2 exons. NCBI's taxonomy places the organism in Eukaryota, Metazoa, Arthropoda, Insecta, Diptera, Drosophilidae.